UUAGAUGAGCUGAUUUCUUCCUAGGU
Molecule: non-coding RNA, 26 nt
Filed under: Rattus norvegicus (Norway rat)
Lineage: Eukaryota; Metazoa; Chordata; Mammalia; Rodentia; Muridae
Source: RNAcentral